This 404-nucleotide long non-coding RNA is filed under the name Coffea arabica (coffee). RNAcentral describes it as "long non-coding RNA (CARA_LNC000458)". Lineage: Eukaryota; Viridiplantae; Streptophyta; Magnoliopsida; Gentianales; Rubiaceae. The record is from RNAcentral.
AGAUCCUCAGAAGGUACUGUGUUUCAAUAUCAAUGAAUUCUUGCCACAUUGUAAGUAUCAUUGGCUUUUGCCUGCAUCAAUUGGCAAUGGUUAACAUGAAUAUUGUGUUGUAUUGAACUUUGUUAAUUUGCAUUGUUUUUAUACUUACUCUUGAUUCAGGAUAAUGAAUUCUUGAAUUGGACAAUCGCCUCUUUGUCGUGCAAUGAAACAUCGGGGAAGGGCUCCAAUGACAGUGCAUAGCAGAGCCGAGAGAAGAGCAUUAACUAUUAGUAUUGAUGUGUAAGAAUCAUUGUAUUAACAAUGUAAUGAAAACCAUUAAAGUGAAGUAGUACUUAUUGGAUUUGUAUUUGUAUUGAUGUGCUUAUAGAAGUCUCUGAAUGGGGUAAAAUUGUAGCAUUGAUCAA